Rana temporaria (common frog) is the source of this 1416-nucleotide long non-coding RNA. RefSeq lists it as uncharacterized. The transcript is spliced from 3 exons. The record is from RefSeq and is a predicted model, not a curated record. NCBI's taxonomy places the organism in Eukaryota, Metazoa, Chordata, Amphibia, Anura, Ranidae.
CAGACACCAGCAGAUACUUUGGGUACAAGAGAGGACACUUGUAACUUGGCUUGGCUUUGGAUACCUACAAUGAGAAAUAUUACCAGCAGGAGCUUUAGUUACAUUACACUGCCUGCCUGUGAAUAGAGAAGAGCCCGAGCAAGUUACAGGAAUCAUAGAUGGUGAUACAUGCCGUAUAAUCAGUGAAAGAACUUUUUUUAAUGGAGAAGAGGGCAGAAGGUGGUGAGUCCCCUCCGGAUAAGUUGAGCCUGAAGACCAGAAGCUAUUAACCUCCACACCACUGGAAGUUCAGCAACAGGAAGAGGAUGGGGCACCCCUGCAUUGAAGAUUUCUACAGAACCCGGCAGCCUGAAAAUCGCAGGAUAUACGUCAUUACAGAAAAUCUGUAACAACCGGGAUUGCAACUUUGUGGACUACCCAUCUAUUUCACCUCUGGGAAACAUACUUCUUUAUAUGCCCAUAUUGGAUCUCGUGGCUAUGGAAUGUUAAGAAGUAUGUAACCUAAAGGUAGCAUUCCAGCUGGAUAUCAAAGGCUACAUUGCUACCAUCUUUACAGCAGCCUCUUACCAUAUCUCAGCAGAUUUCAAGAAUAAGGUGGUAAACCUAACUGGGCAAAACACUGGUGAAGGGAUAAGGUUUGUUUUCAGCAAAACCAUGCUAAACAACUUCAUAUAUGGUCUUGGAUUUGAAUAGACUGGAGUUUAGGAAGAACUCACAUAGUUAUGACAAGUAUUCUCCACGAAACGGUUAUAUAACCUUGAUUGUCCCUAUAUGUUAACCCCUUCCCAGCCAGUGUCAUUGUUAGAGUGACAGUGUAUAGUAUUCGCUCUAAUCACUAUAUUAGUGUCACUAUUGAUGACAGUGUCUGUCAGUUAGUGUACCCCCCAGCCCAGGGCCAAUCCUUGAGUCACAGACGCCUGGGUGCAGAAAUAUUUCUGGCGCCCCCACAUGGGCAGGGUAAUCUUGCUAACUCCUCCCCAUUACAAAUGUUUCUAUGGCAACUGGGCUGGGCACCCUCUAAGGGAGCACAGCUCUCGAUCAUCAGUACCUAGGUGGGCGGGGCGAUGGGCAGAUCCUCUCUCCGCUCAGUUCUCUCUAUGCGCUCCUGUGCUGUGCGUGCUGGGCGACAGAGAAAGCGCCCAGCUGCUGCAUGUGACCCCCAUGUCCCCAGUGGAAAAAACUUGCUCUCCCCUUGCAAUGCCACUGUGUGUGUGACACAGACAAGGCCAAGGAGAAGGGAAGGGAGCACUCUGGCACUUUGGUGCCCCACCUCUGCGGUGUGCGGUGUACCACACACCUGCAUAGGAUCGGCCUUGCUCCAGCCAGCAUCAGCUAGUGUCAGAUUCCCCGCCACACUAUCACAGUCCCACUAUAAGUUGCCAAUCACCACCAUUACCAGUAUAAAUAUAUACUUAU